UGAGCUACUAGUCUCAUCAUGAUAUCUAAAAAGUGCAACCUUGGAAUGCAAGCCAACGAACAACAUCAAUAGAAGUUUUGACUCAUAAUUUAUUAUUUUGAAUUUGUUCAGAACACUGAGCUUGCAUAAUUUUAUCUAUAUGUCUAGAUUGAUUCAUUAAAUCAGCACAAGACUUUAGAGCAUUAUUAUGCGGUAAGCAAGGAUCCUCUCCAAUGUGAUUAAGGACGUCUUUUUCCAUCAUUUACUUUUUUUUAAUUUUUAAAACCCUUAGCUAUAAAUACAUUCGAACCUGCAGAAGAGAGGAACAACAAUAGAAUAGGAUAACCAGCAUUCCAAAAUUAUCCUUUGAUAAUGGUAACAGAUAUUUCUGU
Molecule: long non-coding RNA, 371 nt
Filed under: Elaeis guineensis (African oil palm)
Lineage: Eukaryota; Viridiplantae; Streptophyta; Magnoliopsida; Arecales; Arecaceae
Description: long non-coding RNA (EGUI_LNC073798)
Source: RNAcentral